GUGCUCGCUUUGGCAGCACAUAUACUAAAAUUGGAAUGAUACAGAGAAGAUUAGCAUGGCCCCUGCACAAGGAUGACACGCAAAUUUGCGAAGGUUUUGCAGUAUUA
Small nuclear RNA from Suncus etruscus (white-toothed pygmy shrew), 107 nucleotides. The record is from RefSeq and is a predicted model, not a curated record. Lineage: Eukaryota; Metazoa; Chordata; Mammalia; Eulipotyphla; Soricidae.